RNA transcript from Tripterygium wilfordii, 2204 nucleotides. It is a transcript of the gene named pentatricopeptide repeat-containing protein At3g29230-like, with no coding region annotated. The record is from RefSeq and is a predicted model, not a curated record. Lineage: Eukaryota; Viridiplantae; Streptophyta; Magnoliopsida; Celastrales; Celastraceae. The transcript is spliced from 2 exons.
ACUAAAGAGUAAAGAGACCACCUAUCAAAAAAAUGACCGUUAGGCCGCUCAAACAGUCCUCUGUCUUCCUAGACAAAUUCAUCAAAUCCCAACUAAACCUCUCCAAGCCCUCUCCAAAACUCUGGCAUUAUAAACAAAUCGAUGAUCAAUAUAUCGAUGACAAAGGAUGGCCCAUUUUGAAUCUUAACCACCCCAUUUUGCGCAGACUCGAAUCCUGCAGGAACAUCAGACAAUUCAACGAGGUGCAGUCACAAUCCAUGUUUCUUGGUCUCUUUCAACACCCUCUCAUCGCAAGUCGGUUGCUAAAGAAGCUAUGUACUUCUCUAAAUUCAGUUUCUCUUGCUGUUUCUUUGUAUGAUAACCUUGAAGAGCCUGAUAGUUUUAUGUGUAAUACGAUAAUGAGAAGUUUUGUGAAUUCGGAUGACCCAUUUGGUGCUUUGAGCUUUUACUAUGAGAAAAUGAUGGCGAAGUGGGUUUCCCCUAAUCAUUACACGUUUCCUCUGUUGGUUAAGGUGUGUGCUCAGAUUGGAUCCUUGGCAGAGGGGCAAAAGGCUCAUGCUUGGAUUAUGAAACUUGGGUUUGAGUUCGAUUUAUUUGUUAGGAACUCAUUGAUGCACUUUUACCCUGUUUUUGGAAAAAUUGAGGAUGCCAGUAUGUUGUUUGAGGAAGCGUACGUGUUGGAUUUGGUGAGUUGGAAUACGAUGAUUGAUGGGUAUGUGAAGAAUGGGGAUCUGAAGUCUGCAUGUAAGAUUUUCGAUGAAAUGCCCCAGAGAGAUGUUUUCACUUGGAAUUCAAUGCUUUCAGGGUAUGUAGAGAUUGCAGAUAUGGAGUUCGCAAAAGAGUUGUUUGACAAAGUGCCAUGUAGAGAUGUUGUUUCUUGGAAUUGUAUAAUUGAUGGAUAUGCAAGGAUAGGAAAUGUUUUGGUUGCUCGCCAGUAUUUUGAUUGGAUGCCUUUGAGGAAUGUAACUUCUUGGAACACCAUGUUGGCUCUUUAUGUGAGGUGUAAAGAUUACCUCACUUGUUUGAAGUUGUUUGACAAGAUGAUAGAAGGAGAUGCCAGGCCAAAUGAGGCCUCUUUUUUGAGUGUCCUCACUGCGUGUUCAAAGUUAGGGAGGCUUGACAUUGGAGAGUGGGUUCAUUCUUACAUUAAGUGUAAUCAGAUUGAACUUGACUUGUUACUCUCAACUGCUCUCCUGACAAUGUAUGCAAAAUGUGGCUCUAUGGAGCUGGCUAGAGAUAUUUUUGACCAGAUGCCUGAGAGAAGCACCAUAUCGUGGAAUUCGAUGAUCAUGGGAUAUGGGAUACAUGGGAAUGGAGGGAAAGCCCUGGAGACGUUCACGAAGAUGGUGAAGGGAGGCCAUUUUCCAAAUGAUGCAACUUUUGUGUGUGUUUUAACGGCAUGCACACAUGCAGGAAUGGUUUUGGAGGGUUGGUGGUACUUUAAUAUAAUGCAAAGAGUUUACAAGAUUGAACCAAAAGUGGAGCACUAUGGUUGCAUGGUUGAUCUCCUCGCCAAGGCUGGUUUGAUGAAAAAUUCAGAAGAAUUUAUAAGUAAGAUGCCUAUGGAUGCAGGGCCUGUGCCAUGGGGAGCUUUACUUUCUGCAUGCAGUACCCACUCAAAUUCAGAGCUGGGGGAAAUUGUGGCCAAGCGACUAAUUGACUUGGAACCAAAUGAUAGUGGGCCUUAUGUUAUGUUAUCAAACAUUUAUGCUGCAAAUGGGAAAUGGGAUGACGUCGAAAACGUGAGGAAGAUUAUGAAGGAAAAGGAAUUGCAGAAAGAAGCGGGGUCCAGCAUGGUUCAACUAAGAGAGUUGAGAUCAGAAUCUUCUAAGUCAGAUGAUUCACUCCAUAAGAGAAACAUGAUGUAUUCAAUGCUAGGAGAGAUUGGUGCUUGGAUGAAAUCAUCUUCCAGUGAAUUAGAUACAUUUAAGAGCUUUAGUUAGGGGAAAUGAUUUCAAUGCUUUUUACUCAAGUGGAAGAUGAAUUUUGGAAAAGAAUUUCAGAGAUUGCUGAUAUCAGUCAGAGAUGGACAAGAAGGGCUUGAAAACAACGAUUUCCAUGCUAGAGGACCAAUAUCAUGAGUAGUUUUAAUCUCCAUGUAAGAAGUCUAGUUUGGGGAUAUAAAGGAUUUGUGUACAUACCUGGUAGCAUGCACCACAGCCAACACCAUUUCGAUAGAGUUCAGAUGCAGCUGAUACAUCUCC